This 301-nucleotide ribosomal RNA is filed under the name uncultured bacterium. Its description in RNAcentral is "partial 16S ribosomal RNA". It matches the Rfam family "Bacterial small subunit ribosomal RNA", at positions 509 to 807 of the family's 1533-position model. The record is from RNAcentral.
CAGUAGCCGCGGUAAUACGUAGGGUGCGAGCGUUAAUCGGAAUUACUGGGCGUAAAGCGUGCGCAGGCGGUUCGUUAAGACAGAUGUGAAAUCCCCGGGCUUAACCUGGGAACUGCAUUUGUGACUGGCGAGCUAGAGUAUGGCAGAGGGGGGUAGAAUUCCACGUGAAGCAGUGAAAUGCGUAGAGAUGUGGAGGAAUACCGAUGGCGAAGGCAGCCCCCUGGGCCAAUACUGACGCUCAUGCACGAAAGCGUGGGGAGCAAACAGGAUUAGAUACCCCAGUAGUCCCUGUCUCUUAUAC